ACUUUUCCCAUGAGAAUGAAAACAACUUUUUUCUGUUUUCUACAAGUACACAUGAACUUGUUUUUAUUUUAUGAAAACAUUCUCAUUGUUUUCUGUUUUCGGGCCACCAAAUGUAUUUUGCCUAAUUUUUGUUCUCGGAAAAUGAAAACAACUCCUUAAAACGUUACUGAACGGGACCUCAUCUUUCCACCCACCAUUAUUUCUAAAAUACCAUUUAAUUAUUAAUUCAAGCAAACUCUCUCCCCUCUUUCUUUUUCAUUUUUUCAUUUUCUUCCCUUUACUUCUCUCUUUUCUGUCUGUUUCCCUUUUUUUUUUUUCCUUGCGUUUAUCCCUCUCUUCUCUCUAUGUUUCUUCUUCUUACUCUGCGCCAUUUUUGGCUAUAACCACACUACAUGCAAAAAAUUUGGAUUUUACCCAUAUCUAUGUCCCUCACUGCUGAACUUUUCUGGGUCCACCACUGACCCCCGCCACCAAUUUGAUAUUCCCACCCCGACCCACGCGCCUCCUCCUCUGGCGAAACCAAAAUAGAAGAUGAUGACCAUGUCAUCUAUUUAUUUUUUUGGGUACAGAAAUUCAAAGAAAUUGCAGGCGGGGGGUGCGGCUAGAAUUGAGACAUAAGAUUGGGGAUGGAGUUAAUGGGAGUGCUGAGAAAUUGCAGGGAGGGUGGGGCUACAAUUGAGACAUAAGAUUGGGGGUGGAGUUAAUGGGAAUGCUGAGAAAUUGCAGGGUGGAGUUAAUGGGAGUGCUGAGAAAUUGCAAGGUGGAGAAGGAUGGAAAGAACGGGCAGCGUGGAUUUUGAACAAAAGAAAAAAAAGAAAGAAAAGAAUAUGGGUGUGUGUGAGAGAGUUGUAAAUUUGUCUUUAGAAGUUAUUUUAUAAAAAGGUAAUUUUUGCUAGUUUCCUUUAUAUUCCAAAAGACGUUAUCAUG
Molecule: long non-coding RNA, 927 nt
Filed under: Prunus dulcis (almond)
Lineage: Eukaryota; Viridiplantae; Streptophyta; Magnoliopsida; Rosales; Rosaceae
Description: sRNA ncRNA
Source: RNAcentral